UCUUCUUCCUUUAGAUGCU
This 19-nucleotide unclassified non-coding RNA is filed under the name Dictyostelium discoideum. The record is from RNAcentral. Lineage: Eukaryota; Evosea; Eumycetozoa; Dictyosteliales; Dictyosteliaceae.